GCCUUUCCUAGAGCUCGGCUCGAAAGGCCCAGUCAACCAAACAGGGCCCAUCUGGCAUUCGGGUUUCUCUUUCUCUCCGCCACAACCCGCACCUCCUCCUCCUGACCUAUCUCGUGCUCGGUCGGUCUUGACCUACCCAAAGCUCUAACCCGACCCAAUAAAAUCUCGCCUACACCCUGCCGCCGCCGUAGCUUAGCGCGCGUCGCCGCCUCUCGCCUCUCGAACGCGUCGCGGCCGCCGCCGACGCCGCUCCAGUUCUGCCCCGUCGCGCGCCGCUGCCCCGCCCCAGCCGUUUCCACCCCGUCCGCAACCUUGGACAGCGGCUUUCGAGGUACCAGCUCUUUUGCCAUCCGGUGAUUGGUUACCUCAACCCUAACCAAUCAAAACCCCACCAGUUUUGGCCUAGAUCCGAAGCCGAAGCCGAAGCCGUUCGAGAGAUUGGGCCGAAGCUAGCUGGGUUGCUUUUCCAAAGUUCGUUUUUUUCUCUGUCAAAUCAACUGCGGUCUGCGGAGACGGCCG
This 519-nucleotide long non-coding RNA is filed under the name Hordeum vulgare. RNAcentral's name for it is "long non-coding RNA (HVUL_LNC006725)". Lineage: Eukaryota; Viridiplantae; Streptophyta; Magnoliopsida; Poales; Poaceae. The record is from RNAcentral.